GCAGGCAGGGGCUGGGGGUGUCAGGAGGGGUGGGACCUGGAGCCCACGGGAAGCCCUUCCUCAGGGCCUCAUCUUUGUGUCUCAGGGCAGAUGAAGUCGGCCUGAUCAUGACCAACCUGGAGAAAGCUAAUCAGCGAGCCGAGGCUGCCCAGCGGGAGGUGGAAAGUCUCCGGGAACAGCUGGCUUCUGUCAACAGCUCCAUCCGCCUGGCUUGUUGCUCUCCCCAGGGGCCUAGUGGGG
This 240-nucleotide long non-coding RNA is filed under the name Aotus nancymaae (Ma's night monkey). RNAcentral describes it as "lncRNA (ENSANAG00000038685.1)". Lineage: Eukaryota; Metazoa; Chordata; Mammalia; Primates; Aotidae. The record is from RNAcentral.